CAUGAAUUUUGUUCAACUCUCUGUACAAGUGGAUAGUUGCAUAGUAUUAAUGUCUGACAGUUAUCCACACAGCCUAAUUGGAAUGAUCUUUUUUCAGCCUUGGUGUAGAGAUUUUCUUUGUUUUCUUGAAAAUUUUGAUAAUCUCAUAAUCUUAUGAUUUGGUCCCGUACUCAGAAUUCAUUCAACCUUUUGAUGUGUGAGGCU
RNAcentral lists this unclassified non-coding RNA (204 nucleotides) under Hevea brasiliensis (rubber tree). The record is from RNAcentral. Lineage: Eukaryota; Viridiplantae; Streptophyta; Magnoliopsida; Malpighiales; Euphorbiaceae.